Molecule: long non-coding RNA, 830 nt
Organism: Acipenser ruthenus (sterlet)
Lineage: Eukaryota; Metazoa; Chordata; Actinopteri; Acipenseriformes; Acipenseridae
Exons: 2
Source: RefSeq, a predicted model, not a curated record
GGAAACCCAAGCUAAACUCAGCCAUUGGAAACGAGCCUGACCACAACAACCUGCAAAGGCAGUGGGCAGAUCUGUGAAGGGCUUGAUGCGAAUGUGAAAUAUGCACCAUUUAUUGGUGAAAGGAAGAAAAAAAAAACGGGUUUACAAAACAGGCACAUUUCUGAGUAUUCUUGGAGUCUCAAAACUUUCUCAUUUGUAUUUUCACAUGCACGGAGGACUCUGGGGACACGCAGCAGCAGCAUUGUUUUGAGCUGGGAAAGGAGACCCUUCCCUGUGUAUUGCUACACCUCUUCCUCUCAGCCAUCAGCUGACAGCAAGAUAACAAGGCAAACCCAACAUUCCUCCUCGCACAGGCCGUUGUAGCAAGACCGUGGGGAUGAGAGAUGUGGGUUUGGAUGUCUGUUUUCCCUGCAAAGAACACUCUGGUCCUCUCCCUAAGCUGCUUCCUGGGGGAGAAGCUACUGCUGCCGUUAUAAAAUGCAGAUUUUAAACCAUUAUUGGCUUUCGUGUGAAAUCCUCUGUUCUAACACAGACAGACUCCCGUCAAUUCAACCAAAACACUCAAGUCAUCCAGGAGAAAAAACAAAGUCAAUACCCAUGAUGUCUGUAUACAAAAUACUUUUAUUUAUUUCUUCUUUUAUGCAAAUUGGAAAGCGUUGAACCAGUUUUUGUCUCAUUUACAGUUCCACACAGCUCCAAGCUCACAAACAAGAUAUACAACAAUGCAACUUCAAUCAUAUCUGUAGGAGUGUAGUAUAGAAAAUAACCUUCAUGAAAAAAUCUCUCUCUCUCUCUCUCUAUAUAUAUAUAUAUAUAUAUAUACACAUACA